Molecule: microRNA precursor, 138 nt
Filed under: Fasciola hepatica (liver fluke)
Lineage: Eukaryota; Metazoa; Platyhelminthes; Trematoda; Plagiorchiida; Fasciolidae
Description: microRNA fhe-mir-9 precursor
Gene: fhe-mir-9
Source: miRBase by way of RNAcentral
UCUUUGGUUAUCAAGCAGUAUGAUUGUCACACUUGAAACGGCCAGUGACACAACAACACGCGCACUUGUGCUCGCGUGAUUGUUUCUGUGUCGAUGACACUCGGCUCGUCUAACAUCAUAAAGCUAGGUGACCAAAGU